AAGCACUGGUAUCAACGCGUGAAAGCGUGGCCUAAUCGAUCCUUUUGACUUUUAGGAGUUUUUAAGCAAGAGGUGUCAGAAAAGUUACCACAGGGAUAACUGGCUUGUGGCAGUCCAAGCGUUCAUGAGCGACGUUGCUUUUUUGAUCAUUCGAUGUCGGCCUCUUCCUAUCAUUGUGAAGCAGAAUUACCAAGCGUGUGGAAUUGUUCAUAGCACA
Priapulus caudatus is the source of this 217-nucleotide long non-coding RNA. RefSeq lists it as uncharacterized. NCBI's taxonomy places the organism in Eukaryota, Metazoa, Priapulida, Priapulimorpha, Priapulimorphida, Priapulidae. The record is from RefSeq and is a predicted model, not a curated record. The transcript has 3 exons.